RNAcentral lists this long non-coding RNA (997 nucleotides) under Musa acuminata (dwarf banana). RNAcentral describes it as "long non-coding RNA (MACU_LNC010559)". The record is from RNAcentral. Lineage: Eukaryota; Viridiplantae; Streptophyta; Magnoliopsida; Zingiberales; Musaceae.
UUUUACUUCUUUUGUGAAAUGGAGACCACUUACUACGGUUUGUUGAUGACUUCUCCACUAACUAGAAUGUUUUGUUUCGCAGCCUUCCGCCCUAUUCUGCUGCUGAUUUCUUGUUGAUGAGUGCUGUUUGGAUCCAGCCAUCCUAUUUCUCUGCUGAUAUCACUCUGAUCCAUCUUGAAGUAUCUGCUCCAUCGGCACACCCUUCCCUGUCCACGCUGUCGCCUUCGCUGACGUCUUCUUGGCAGCGAUCGGCAGGAGGGAUACUUCUUUGCGGACGGCUCGCGCGUGGAUCGAAAGGCCGGCACCGGUUCUUAGACUCUGGACAAAAAGCAAGAACUAGUCAACAAAACCGUCGCCGGGCGCGAGAUGGUGGUGAGGUGAAAGAGCAUCAAUGACUACCGACAGAAGAACUCCGGGUGGACGAUGUACGAAUACGAGAUGUGUUCUUCCGGCUUAUUUGACAUUUGUUUUGACGGUGGUGCCGUCGGAGGUGGCCUGAUGCAAGAUCUUCAGAGAACUCGUCUCUCGAAACCGGGAAGAACACAUCUCAUCUCGUCUAUCGUCCACCCUCUUUCGCCGGCCGUCGUUAAAGGAAAGUCAGCUCUUUCGUCCCACCCACGAUCUCGCACCCAUUCGUAAAAGGAAAGCCGACCGAUUUCUUGCUUUUUUACAGAGUGGAAGAACCCAUUCGUAACCUUAGGGUUUGAAAAACCUAUGAGGCUCGGUUCUUCCGGGGCCGAGAUGGGCUGCCGGGAUGGACUCGACCCAAGUUCUUGCUUUUUGAACGUGGACUCAACCGUUUUGAUAGAACCGGUUCCGGCCUUUCGCUAUUCUCGGGCUUACGCUCCACAAAGAAUCCCUCUUGCCGAUCGCUGCCAAGAAGAUUCCACGGCUCGGUGCCGUAGAUGUUGGUGAAGGCGAAAGCGCGGCCAGGGAAGGAGGGGAUUGUCGGCGACCUAGUUGGUGAGGUAGUCGACCACGAGUUCCUUCCCACGAC